This 481-nucleotide long non-coding RNA is filed under the name Bos taurus (domestic cattle). RNAcentral describes it as "long non-coding RNA NONBTAT024151". Lineage: Eukaryota; Metazoa; Chordata; Mammalia; Artiodactyla; Bovidae. The record is from RNAcentral.
AAAGAAAAACUAAGGAAAAAUAGUUUCCCAGGAAGUUUUCUCUUUAACACUUAUCAGACAUAUUACAAAAACAAAAACUAAUGAGACAACUGCCUCAUAGUUUGUCAUAUUGGUUCAGUUUAGUUUAGUCCUGCUUCUCUUUCCACGUCUGACAAUUCAUUCUAUGAUUAGACUUAGGAAAAGACACGUAUAGGGGUAGAUUCAACUUCUCAUUGGUGAUCCACAAAGCUGCCAGCUGUCUCUGUAUGUAAAGUUUUAUAAAAAGGAAUUUAUUAUUCUUCAGUAAAAAUAAGGAAUUCAGAUAGUUCCAAAUCUGGUAAGUUUAUUAUUAAUGAUCUCCAAAAGACUCCCUUAAACAUUGAGUUCUCCCUGGAAGCUGUGGUUUUAGUUUCAUUUGACAUUAACACAUUCUGAAAUUACUCUAUGUGGUGCUGGGUCUUGCUGUUAGUUUCCCUUUGAUGUUACAGAACUAUUACUAUCU